Molecule: ribosomal RNA, 548 nt
Filed under: uncultured Bacteroides sp.
Lineage: Bacteria; Pseudomonadati; Bacteroidota; Bacteroidia; Bacteroidales; Bacteroidaceae
Description: bacterial SSU rRNA
Rfam family: Bacterial small subunit ribosomal RNA
Source: RNAcentral
AGAGUUGUAUCCUGGCUCAGGAUGAACGCUAGCGGCAGGCUUAACACAUGCAAGUCGAGGGGCAGCGGGGAGUAGCAAUACUUCGCCGGCGACCGGCGCACGGGUGCGUAACGCGUAUGCAACCUACCAUAUACAGGGGGAUAAUCACUCGAAAGGGUGUCUAAUACCCCAUAGUAUUAUUUAUCUGCAUGGAAAAAUAAUUAAAGAUUUAUUGGUAUAUGAUGGGCAUGCGUGACAUUAGCUAGUUGGAGAGGUAACGGCUCACCAAGGCAACGAUGUCUAGGGGUUCUGAGAGGAAGAUCCCCCACACUGGUACUGAGACACGGACCAGACUCCUACGGGAGGCAGCAGUGAGGAAUAUUGGUCAAUGGGCGAGAGCCUGAACCAGCCAUGCCGCGUGAAGGAAGACUGCCCUACGGGUUGUAAACUUCUUUUAUAUGGGGAUAAACCUAUUCUUGCGAGAGUAGCUGAAGGUACCAUAUGAAUAAGCAUCGGCUAACUCCGUGCCAGCAGCCGCGGUAAUACGGAGGAUGCGAGCGUUAUCCGGA